RNAcentral lists this ribosomal RNA (427 nucleotides) under uncultured bacterium. RNAcentral describes it as "partial 16S ribosomal RNA". It matches the Rfam family "Bacterial small subunit ribosomal RNA", at positions 355 to 774 of the family's 1533-position model. The record is from RNAcentral.
UGGGGAAUAUUGCACAAUGGGCGCAAGCCUGAUGCAGCCAUGCCGCGUGUGUGAAGAAGGCCUUCGGGUUGUAAAGCACUUUCAGCGAGGAGGAAGGGUAGUGUGUUAAUAGCACAUUGCAUUGACGUUACUCGCAGAAGAAGCACCGGCUAACUCCGUGCCAGCAGCCGCGGUAAUACGGAGGGUGAAAGCGUUAAUCGGAAUUACUGGGCGUAAAGCGCACGCAGGCGGUUUGUUAAGUCAGAUGUGAAAUCCCCGCGCUUAGCGUGGGAACUGCAUUUGAAACUGGCAAGCUAGAGUCUUGUAGAGGGGGGUAGAAUUCCAGGUGUAGCGGUGAAAUGCGUAGAGAUCUGGAGGAAUACCGGUGGCGAAGGCGGCCCCCUGGACAAAGACUGACGCUCAGGUGCGAAAGCGUGGGGAGCAAACA